This 231-nucleotide long non-coding RNA is filed under the name Chinchilla lanigera (long-tailed chinchilla). RNAcentral describes it as "lncRNA (ENSCLAG00000022960.1)". The record is from RNAcentral. Lineage: Eukaryota; Metazoa; Chordata; Mammalia; Rodentia; Chinchillidae.
AUAGAUGGAAUUAAAAAUGCACAUGUACAAAGGGCACUGCUAAAACUGGAUUGAGGACCUGGAGCCAGGGGUGUUAGCCUGGGAAGUGAGUAUGAAGUGGGAAUGGAGGGGCAGUGGGAAGGGGAAAUACUUCCAUGACACUGAGGAGCAAGACAAGAUAUAGUCAAGCAUCUGAGCCAAGAUUCUUCAACUCUACUUUCCACCAGUGAGAUGGUAUCAGUCAUUUCUACC